Molecule: long non-coding RNA, 671 nt
Organism: Solanum stenotomum
Lineage: Eukaryota; Viridiplantae; Streptophyta; Magnoliopsida; Solanales; Solanaceae
Exons: 2
Source: RefSeq, a predicted model, not a curated record
UCCCUCUCUCCCUCCUUAAUUUCUCUCACUAAAAGUCUUACUUGUUCUCCAACCCCUCUCCCUAUAAUUUAAUUAAGCUUUAAAAGCAAUCUCAUCUCUACCUUCAAUAGUUCCCAUUAUAUAAUAUGGCCUUUUACAAGUCCAAAAAUCAUCAUCUAGGACCACAAAAUAAGUAUAACUAAUUGUUUAUCUUUGUGGUGGUUCCGGUCAUAUCUCCUCCGUACUCCGCCGUAUCGUUCCGACUACAAAAAUCCCUCACUUCCGAUCUCAAGAAUGAGCAGGAGAAAUGGAAAUGGUUCAAGGCUUGACCUAAAAUUGAAUUUGUCACCACCACCAAGAGUGAACCACGUGGCGCCGCAAGUGGAGUCGCCGACAAGGUCAUUGACCAUGUCCCCGACGAAUUCAUGUGUGUCAUCUGAUGAUUCGUCGGGGGGUCAACGUGGUUCCAACAGCCCCGAAGCGGUGACUUCGAUGCUGUUGGUUGGUUGUCAAAGGUGUCUUAUGUAUGUUAUGGUAUCGGGAGUUAAUGAUCCACCAAGGUGCCCAAAAUGCAAGAGUACUUGUUUGCUUGAUGUUAUGUAUGAGAAAAAAUAAGAAGUAUUGAGUCGGUCAAGAUCAAAUCCAUCAGAUUCUCAUAUUAUUACUAGGUUUAUCAAUAUCGCCGUCCUGCC